UGUAUUCAAAAGAAAAUAAAUAAAAAAAGGAACAGUACAACCAUUAUUGAAGGCAGUAUCUAAUAAUUUCAUAUACUUCAAAUAGGGCAAAAUGCUGUUAGAGGAAAGAAUCUGGAAACUGGAGGCAAUCUGGUCAGUGAAGUAUGGAGUAGGGUGAAUGAGGCAGUGCAGGUUGACGAAGGGAGGAUCAAGUGGAAGCAACCUGAAGAGCAAAAGAACAGGGAAGGUGCGUCCUCCAUGUAGUUAGGUGGUCUUGAGUUCAGAAUCAAUCAGGGGUGGCCAAAGCAUGAAGGAUUAUUAGGGAGUGAGAACUACACUGGAAAAUGGGGAUGUGGUUUCGGAUACGAGGAUGUUCGGGCACUAAUGAUUAUUAGAGUACUAUAUGAUAUCUAUAGAAAAAACAAAAAAAAAAAAAAAAAAACUUAGUAAUUUGUUGUUAAUCUUCUCAUUGUCUCACGUCCCUCGCAGGCUGCAACAGCCAAUCAAGGAUAACCAGAAAGUUGGGGCUGGGCCCAAUUGAUAUCAACCUACGAACCCAUUUUCUCAGUUUCGAAAUCGGGCCAUCUAAUUGCAACCCCAAUGAAUACAAAAAUACUUUCGUCCGAGAAUCUCCUAAAAGCAGGGGAAGGAAAGCUCAAGGGAAAAAUGUAAGUUUGAUUGAGAUAAUAAAGGAAAGGGCUGUUCUUCACAAACUGUAGGGAAAUUAAUGUUUUCUUUAUAAAUAGAAACAAUUCGAGUCUAA
Molecule: long non-coding RNA, 742 nt
Filed under: Ricinus communis (castor bean)
Lineage: Eukaryota; Viridiplantae; Streptophyta; Magnoliopsida; Malpighiales; Euphorbiaceae
Description: long non-coding RNA (RCOM_LNC000258)
Source: RNAcentral